RNAcentral lists this small RNA (174 nucleotides) under Salix viminalis (osier). The record is from RNAcentral. Lineage: Eukaryota; Viridiplantae; Streptophyta; Magnoliopsida; Malpighiales; Salicaceae.
GCAGAUUGGAAGAACUCAACCAGAAUAGUGCAAUUUUCUGCUAUAACCAACCCCAAAAGGUUAGCAAUUAUAUGUUUUUGUGUUCUGUCUGUGUCACUCAAAUAUCUAGGCGCAUACAUGAGUUCUGAACCACAGGAGAUAUAUGAAGUUCCUUUUGUGAUGUAUGAACUUUUU